GGCUUCGAAAAUGAUAGAGAAGUGGAUAGUGUAAACAAAUAUGAUUUUGUGAAAAUUUGUUCGACGUUGGAUCGAGUAUUUUUUUUUUGUUCUUUUUUCUAAAAAAUGUUAAUCUUAAUCUUUGAAUUAACAAUCAACUGAUACAAUAAAGUAAUUGAAAGCGGUAAAUUUAUUACAUAUUUUGGGAAUGGGGGUAUAGUUUACUGAAUGGGAAUACGGUAUCAUAAUUAAAUGAUAUAAGUUCUAGAAGACAUUUG
Molecule: long non-coding RNA, 257 nt
Filed under: Lathyrus oleraceus (garden pea)
Lineage: Eukaryota; Viridiplantae; Streptophyta; Magnoliopsida; Fabales; Fabaceae
Description: Pisum sativum (pea) long non-coding RNA (PSAT_LNC037445)
Source: RNAcentral